This 3165-nucleotide ribosomal RNA is filed under the name Triticum aestivum (bread wheat). RNAcentral describes it as "partial small subunit ribosomal RNA". Lineage: Eukaryota; Viridiplantae; Streptophyta; Magnoliopsida; Poales; Poaceae. The record is from RNAcentral.
AUGCUCAGCGAGAGCCCUUUGGCGAUGCGUCAGGAGAUGGGCGGCGUGAGAGGGGAGGAAGAGCCGGAGGACGAGCUUGACGCGCUGCUCCGUGCCGGUGGCGGCGGAGCGCGUCGGCGAGGUGAGGAGGCUGGUGAGAAGGAACGGCUCAGCAUAUUCCGAAGCGGGUCGGCGCCACCGACCAUAGAGGGUUCACUAAACGCCAUCGGCGGCCUGCUCCGCGGUGGUGGUGAGACGCCCCGGGCCGCUGCCGCCGUUCCUGACGCUGAGGAGUUGAACGGACAUGGCGGACUCCUGUCGGAGGAGGAGCUCCGGGCUGACCCAGCCUACCUGUCGUAUUACUACUCGCACGCCAAUCUUAACCCGAGGUUGCCACCGCCGGUCCUGACAAAGGAGGACUGGCGGUCAACACAGCGGCUGAAGGCAGGGGUAGGGGUGGUGGGAGGGAUUGGGGACAGGAGAAAGGCAGUGCAGGAAGAGGCUGGACAGGGGAUGGCCGCCGGGAUGUCGCUGUUCCCACAGAAUCCUGGUUUCGAUCGGGAGGAGCAUGGAAGCAAGGGUGUGGGCGGUGCUGCAGAGUGGGUCGAUAGAGGAGGUGAUGGGCUCAUUGGGUUAUCACUAGGACGGCAACGCAGCUUUGCUGAUAUGUUUCAGGAUAACCUUGGCCGCAGAACACCUACUUCAGAACAUCCCUCUCGUGCAGCCAGUCGCAAUUCAGUUGAUCCUUCUGAGAACCAAUACUCUUUACAUAAUGAUACUAUGGAUGCACAGCGCUCUGUUGGAAAUGCACAAAGUGUCGGCAGUCUUUCCAGUAUUAAUGCAUCUGCAUCUCAAACUUUUGCUUCUGUUCUGGGUUCAUCAGCUUCAAGGAAUGCGACACCAGAUUCCCAUUAUAUCCCUAGGGUUCCUAGCCCUGGCCUUCCACCUGUUGGCGCUAGGAUUAGUUCUAAUGAGAAGAGACUAAAUUGUUCAUCGUCAUCAUUCAACACAGUAUCAUCAAAAGCACUUGAGCCUGAUGAUAUAUUAACUGCACUAUCUAGCAUGAACUUGUCAAAAGGUGGCACUUUGAACAACAACAGCAACAUUAGUCAAUCAAAGUUUCAGAGAGAGAUAAGUGAUUACCAUAAUUUUGCUCUUGGCCCGCAAGCUGCUCAAGUCAGCAGUAGGCAGUAUUCUGCGAUGUUGGAAGCAGAUGCUGAAUAUGCAGGUGUACCAUCAAAUUCUUCAUUUGCUGAUAUUAAGAAUAGUGCACCUAAUCCAGCAGACUUCAGAGGUUCCACAAACACACGGUUUGAUGGACACGGGGAGAUAAAAAGAUCUUCUACUCUUUCUGCUCGUUCAUAUCAGAAGUCUCCACCAUCUUCUAAUGCAAGUCCAGGUGGUUCUCCUGCUCAACAUCAGAAUCUUGAUGGAACAAAUUCAGCAUUUCUUAACUAUGGGCUCAGUGGAUAUUCACUCAAUCCGGGUUUCAACUCCAUGAUGAUGAAUAACAUGGGUUCAGGUAGCAUGCCUCCUCUGUUUGAAAGUGGUGCAGCAGCAUCUGCUAUAGCUUCACUUGGGUCAGAUUCAAGAAACCUUGGUAGCAAUAUUUCGUCACCACCUGCCUUAAGUCUAUCGGAUCUGCAUAACCUUGGUAGAUCCAAUAAUCAAACAGCCACUGGUCUUCAGUCUCCUCUCUCCGAUCCUUUUUAUGUUCAGUAUUUGAAGACAGCUCAAUAUACAGCGCAGGAAGCAGCCAACUACAGUGAUCCUUACUUGGAAAGAGGUUUCAUGGGUAGUUCGUAUGCUGAUUUAACACCAGUUCAGAAAGCUUAUGUUGAAGCUUUGCUUCAGCAGAAGCAAUAUGGGAUGCCACUUGGUAAAUCAGUAUCCUCAAAUCAUGGUUACUAUAGCAAUCUGGGUUACGGCAUGGGUAUGGCAUACCCUGGAAGCCCUUUGGGAAGUCCUGUUGCUUCCCCAUCAGGUCCUGGCAGUCCAAUUAGGCUCGGUGAGCGGAAUCUGAGGUUUCCUUCUAACACGAGAAGCUUGACUGGUUGGAACGUUGAUCCAAGUGGCUAUAUGAAUGGGAACUUUCCAUCUUCACUUUUGGAUGAAUUCAAAAACAAUAAGGCCAGAAGCUUUGACCUUGCUGAGAUUGCUGGGAAUGUGGUGGAGUUCAGCGCUGACCAAUAUGGAAGUCGUUUCAUACAGCAAAAACUUGAAACUGCGACAGUUGAGGAAAAAAACAUGGUUUUUGAGGAGAUCAUGCCUCACGCUCUCUCAUUGAUGACUGAUGUAUUUGGGAAUUAUGUAGUGCAGAAGGUAUUCGUUACUGAGACACUGUUUUUUGAGCAUGGGAGCUCCACACAACGCAGGGAGUUGGCUGAUAAACUAUUUGGACAUGUACUAACUCUUAGCAUUCAGAUGUAUGGUUGUCGAGUUAUCCAAAAGGCAAUAGAGGUUGUUGAUCUGGACCAGAAGACAAAAAUGGUUACUGAGCUUGAUGGUCAUAUCAUGCGAUGUGUGCGUGAUCAAAAUGGAAACCAUGUUAUCCAGAAAUGUAUUGAGUGUAUACCAGAAGAUUCCAUUCAGUUUAUUAUCUCGACAUUCUAUGGUGAAGUUGUUACACUGUCCACUCACCCCUAUGGCUGCAGAGUCAUACAGAGAGUACUGGAGCAUUGCACUGAUACAAACACACAGCAAAUUGUCAUGGAUGAGAUAUUGCAAUCUGUAUGCAUGCUGGCACAAGACCAGUAUGGAAAUUAUGUUAUCCAGCAUGUUAUGCAGCAUGGGAAGCCUCAUGAGCGGUCUUUUAUUAUUGAAAAGCUAGCUGGACAGAUCAUCCAGAUGAGCCAACAGAAAUUUGCCUCAAAUGUUGUCGAGAAGUGUCUAACAUUUGGAGGACCUUCAGAGCGGGAAGUUAUCAUAAAUGAAAUGCUUGGAACUACUGACGAGAAUGAGCCUCUCCAGGCCAUGAUGAAGGAUCAGUUUGGUAACUAUGUUGUACAAAAAGUACUAGAGACUUGUGAUGAUCAGCAGAGAGAGCUGAUUCUUUCACGAAUAAAGGUUCAUUUAAAUGCGCUGAAGAAAUAUACAUAUGGGAAGCACAUUGUUGCUCGAGUGGAAAAACUUGUUGCUGCUGGUGAGAGGAGGAUUGGACUUCAGUCGUUGCAGUAUCCUUCCUAA